GAUGAACGCUGGCGGCGUGCCUAAUACAUGCAAGUCGAGCGAACAGACGAGGAGCUUGCUCCUCUGACGUUAGCGGCGGACGGGUGAGUAACACGUGGAUACCCUACCUAUAAGACUGGGAUAACUUCGGGAAACCGGAGCUAAUACCGGAUAAUAUAUUGAACCGCAUGGUUCAAUAGUGAAAGACGGUUUUGCUGUCACUUAUAGAUGGAUCCGCGCGGCAUUAGCUAGUUGGGAAGGUAACGGCUUACCAAGGCAACGAUGCGUAGCCGACCUGAGAGGGUGAUCGGCCACACUGGAACUGAGACACGGUCAAGACUCCUACGGGAGGCAGCAGUAGGGAAUCUUCCGCAAUGGGCGAAAGCCUGACGGAGCAACGCCGAGUGAGUGAUGAAGGUCUUCGGAUCGUAAUACUCUGUUAUUAGGGAAGAACAAAUGUGUAAGUAAAUAUGCACGUCGUGACGGUACCUAAUCAGAAAGCCACGGCUAACUACGUG
RNAcentral lists this ribosomal RNA (497 nucleotides) under uncultured bacterium. RNAcentral describes it as "partial 16S ribosomal RNA". It matches the Rfam family "Bacterial small subunit ribosomal RNA", at positions 28 to 507 of the family's 1533-position model. The record is from RNAcentral.